This 126-nucleotide long non-coding RNA is filed under the name Monodelphis domestica (gray short-tailed opossum). Its description in RNAcentral is "lncRNA (ENSMODG00000046182.1)". The record is from RNAcentral. Lineage: Eukaryota; Metazoa; Chordata; Mammalia; Didelphimorphia; Didelphidae.
GAUGGUGCCAUCAAACAAUACUGGUUACUAUGUCUAGUGGAAAGCCAUUAUGCCAUGAAGAAUGUUAGAGGAUGUUGGAGACAGACCAUUUGUACUGACAGUGUGGAUGUGAAGCUCAAUGAAAAC